AUGAUUGCUUUACACAGGUUUUCUCCAUUCCCCUGUUUUUGUGUAAGGAUCAAGGCAAAGGGAAUGUCAUUACCAUCACAUGGAAAUUUUGCUUUUGUUUUUCUGAUUCCUCGGGUGGUCAAUAGAUUAACAAUUUCCAGGUGGCAUCGUAGAAAUCUACCAUUUGCAUUGAUCUGUAAAUGUCUCCACACAAAAUGAUUUUUAAAUACAACAGAAAAAUAGCUCCUGCACCGUGGUGAACCCAAACCAUGCUUCAAUGAGGUGAUGAAAAUGAACACCUGUGAGGAGGUGCAGCUGGACAUCUCCAGGUGGGCUGACCUCAGAGGGAUACAACAUUGCCACAGGGCAAGCUGACAGCAGAUGCUGAGUCCAGCCUCAGCAGAGAAGCCCCAUGAGUGACCACGGUCUGGAAGGGAACUACUCAAGAACAUCAGGUGCCUUGAGGCAAGAGCAUUGCGGGUUAAAGGAGAGCCACCCUAGCAUGCACCUGUAACCCAGCUGCUGCAGAAGCCUAGUCAACUUAGCAAGGCCCU
RNAcentral lists this long non-coding RNA (533 nucleotides) under Fukomys damarensis (Damara mole-rat). RNAcentral's name for it is "lncRNA (ENSFDAG00000031360.1)". Lineage: Eukaryota; Metazoa; Chordata; Mammalia; Rodentia; Bathyergidae. The record is from RNAcentral.